Molecule: ribosomal RNA, 482 nt
Filed under: uncultured bacterium
Lineage: Bacteria
Description: partial 16S ribosomal RNA
Rfam family: Bacterial small subunit ribosomal RNA
Source: RNAcentral
AUUGAACGCUGGCGGCAUGCCUUACACAUGCAAGUCGAACGGUAACGGGCCUUCGGGUGCCGACGAGUGGCGAACGGGUGAGUAAUACAUCGGAACGUGCCCGAUCGUGGGGGAUAACGAGGCGAAAGCUUUGCUAAUACCGCAUACGGUCUACGGAUGAAAGCAGGGGACCGCAAGGCCUUACGCGGACGGAGCGGCCGAUGGCAGAUUAGGUAGUUGGUGGGAUAAAAGCUUACCAAGCCGACGAUCUGUAGCUGGUCUGAGAGGAUGAUCAGCCACACUGGGACUGAGACACGGCCCAGACUCCUACGGGAGGCAGCAGUGGGGAAUUUUGGACAAUGGGCGCAAGCCUGAUCCAGCCAUGCCGCGUGCAGGAUGAAGGCCUUCGGGUUGUAAACUGCUUUUGUACGGAACGAAAAGCCUUCUUUUAAUACAGGAGGGUCAUGACGGUACCGUAAGAAUAAGCACCGGCUAACUACGUG